GGGCUGAUGGGGGAGGGAGAAGAUGCGAACGUCGAUGGCCUGCUGCCUACAGGAGGCUGUGAACAAACCGUUUAAUCAAACUAAUCAAGACAAAGAGAUAAAAUAAGCAUAAAGACAAUUAAAUGCCGUGGCGCACGCCGCAACAUAUGCGCGAUGAGUCGGUCACCGGAUUUUACGACAUAUUAUGGAAGCCUGCUUAUCCUUAUCAGGCAACACGGCUUGACUAAAGGAACCAUUCUUGACUUAGGGAAAAGAAAAACACGCGACGAGUUAGUGUCAUCAUCAUGACAACACUUGACACUCUGGGAACCAGGGGCGCUCAUUCCGUAUACGAUUCACGCUCAUUCCGGCUAAUAUCUACUUUGACUCUUCAUUCCACAACCCUCCAUUUCAUAUCGAGGUAACUUAAUCAUUUUGGAAUGAAGACCCCUUCGCUAAAAAAUAAAACAAGUGGCGAAUGAACGCUCCCUACGGUCUGAACGCCUGUUCAGUCUUAAACGAAGCACUCCUCCAUCACGUGAUAUGAUCAUCCCUUCAGUCCCAAAAAACCGUUUCCAUGAAAUGAGCCCUCAUCACACGAUAUGAUGACAUUUUCAGUCCAAAACGAUGCGUCUCCAAAACGAUGCCCCGUCCGUCGCGUGAUAUUAAUGAAUGUUCAGUGCAAAACAUUGCCAUUUCCAACAGACGAGCCCCUGUCCUUCACAACCAGCCCGUUCCGAUUACAAAUGCCUCCAAACGGCGUAUGAGUCAUAUCACUAUUGCAUGACUCACCAACCCACCAUCCCGAGGUGAGGAGCCCGGUGUUCCUUUCAAGGUACCUGUCACCUGAGAUUACGAAUACACCCUCCCCUUACUGCAUCAGCCUGUCCGCCGCCGAGGCCCCCGGCCGCCCCUAUCGAGGCAGGACAGUCAAGAUAACGCGACCUUUACAUCUAGUAAUCCUUGUGCCCAUGCGGCAGCCCGCCGCUGGCACCCCGUACCGUGAUCACAUUCGUCCAAUGUCCGCAGAGACGUCAAUCCCCUUGACACGUCAAUGAUGGAGUGCGGCAGGCACCCCCAGCUAGCGGCCCACAGCGGGAGUACUGGCGGUGAUCAUCUUGGUGUGUGUACCUGGCGUUACAUGAAGCGAGGCAACGGCAGGCCGGCAUUGUGGCAGCCAAAAUAACUCAAUUCCAUUUCCCGAAUUGGCAAUUGUAGAAGCAAGAGUAGUUGCAAGACUAGUAGAUGUUGUUGUUUGUUGUAGGUUCACAUCCCCAAGGGACCUCUCACCCUUGGCAGGCCUGUGAUGACCCAUGCUCUUACAUCAAAAACCUCUGCCGUACACGCCCGCCCCAGGACCGCGGGACAGUGCAUAGCGGCAAAUAAAUCCAGCCUUCUUCCGCAUAUUCUCCAGCAGCUUGUGAUAGGGUGAGGCGACUCUGCAUACGAGUGGUGUAUGCGUAUUAGAUACUUGGCAGCAUAGCCCCCCCGAUCUGCCCCUCAGAGGGUGUCCUGGUUAGCCACAUGGGUGCGGACUGCAGUCGCACGGGCCGUUAUUAUAAUGGACCCACCAUCGCCCGCGUCAUGGCCCUGGCGCUGCCACUGCUGCUGUUGCUGGUUGUUAUUGCGGGGAGUGCCCGUGAGUACUUUUACCUAUAAUUUCACAUCGUAUGUACCUGUGUGGAGAUCAACUUAUUUUGGUCCGCCAUGGCUAUAGCAUGAAUGCCACGUCAGGCCAUGUCGUAGGAACACACAUACAUGCCGGGUCAGCUCAUCACUGCACCCACCCGCGCACGGGGUAACCUCCCACACCCGGCAUCGCUGCCCUAGCGGUAACGGACGGUACACCACCUGCCCUGUCCACCCCACCCUCCCUGCUUUCCUGCCCACCCGCCCAGUCUUAUCUCCCCCCCACCCUGUGACGGGCCCCACCCGCCGCCGCUGCCCUCUACAGCUGCUGUGACAGCCCAGGAAGUGGGACACCGCAAGCUGCUGCAGGCUUCCACAUCCACAUCAAGUAGGUUGACUGCGGGUGGGAGGGGCCGUGUCCAUAGAUGAGUAUUUGCC
Molecule: long non-coding RNA, 2046 nt
Filed under: Volvox carteri
Lineage: Eukaryota; Viridiplantae; Chlorophyta; Chlorophyceae; Chlamydomonadales; Volvocaceae
Description: long non-coding RNA (VCAR_LNC000538)
Source: RNAcentral